GACGAACGCUGGCGGCGUGCCUAAUACAUGCAAGUAGAACGCUGAAGGAGGAGCUUGCUCUUCUGGAUGAGUUGCGAACGGGUGAGUAACGCGUAGGUAACCUGCCUGGUAGCGGGGGAUAACUAUUGGAAACGAUAGCUAAUACCGCAUAACAGUAGAUGUUGCAUGACAUUUACUUAAAAGGUGCAAUUGCAUCACUACCAGAUGGACCUGCGUUGUAUUAGCUAGUUGGUGGGGUAACGGCUCACCAAGGCGACGAUACAUAGCCGACCUGAGAGGGUGAUCGGCCACACUGGGACUGAGACACGGCCCAGACUCCUACGGGAGGCAGCAGUAGGGAAUCUUCGGCAACGGACGGAAGUCUGACCGAGCAACGCCGCGUGAGUGAAGAAGGUUUUCGGAUCGUAAAGCUCUGUUGUAAGAGAAGAACGAGUGUGAGAGUGGAAAGUUCACACUGUGACGGUAUCUUACCAGAAAGGGACGGCUAACUACGUG
This 495-nucleotide ribosomal RNA is filed under the name uncultured bacterium. RNAcentral's name for it is "partial 16S ribosomal RNA". It matches the Rfam family "Bacterial small subunit ribosomal RNA", at positions 28 to 507 of the family's 1533-position model. The record is from RNAcentral.